Molecule: ribosomal RNA, 301 nt
Filed under: uncultured bacterium
Lineage: Bacteria
Description: partial 16S ribosomal RNA
Rfam family: Bacterial small subunit ribosomal RNA
Source: RNAcentral
CAGUAGCCGCGGUAAUACGUAGGUGGCAAGCGUUGCCCGGAAUUAUUGGGCGUAAAGGGCUCGCAGGCGGUUUCUUAAGUCUGAUGUGAAAGCCCCCGGCUCAACCGGGGAGGGUCAUUGGAAACUGGGAAACUUGAGUGCAGAGGAGGAGAGUGGAAUUCCACGUGUAGCGGUGAAAUGCGUAGAGAUGUGGAGGAACACCAGUGGCGAAGGCGACUCUCUGGUCUGUAACUGACGCUGAGGAGCGAAAGCGUGGGGAGCGAACAGGAUUAGAUACCCCGGUAGUCCCUGUCUCUUAUAA